AAGAUACAACAGUGUCAUCUUUGGCAGGAUAGAUGGAUUUUCAAGGAAGAGUGGGAGCUGAUCAAGGGGUCGAAAAUGUAGAUAUUGCCAGACGUAUGUUCACUGUCCGAGGAACAGGCCGUGGAAGCUUAAUUGCUGGGUAAAGUGUCCAUAACCAGAGAUUCAGUAUGUGGAGGACCUGCUUUAUCAGGAGAAUCAUCUGGAAUCUGGAAACACUGGCAAUGGGGUCACUGUUCCUGACAUCCCAUAUGCCCCCUGUCUACUGGGAAUCUUGAUGUGCUGCAGCGUCAAGUGAACCCAACCCCUGGACAUAUACAGCUCUGGAGAAAAUGAAGAGACCACUGCAAAAUGAUCCGUUUCUCUGGUUUUACUAUUUAUAGCUCUGUGUUUGGGUCCACAUUUCACAGUGGGUGCGAGACACUGUGGCUUGUAGGCCUCUCCAGGUCUCACACCCACUGUGACAUUUGGUUGUUCCUGGAAGAAAACAUGCUUCCUUCUGCUCUGACAAUGUUCCCCAACUCUGAGGAUUGGUUUUUCCAGCAGGACAAUGUUUCAUGCCACACAGUCAGGUCAAUCAAGGUGUGGAUGGAGGACCACCAGAUCAAGACCCUGUCAUGGACAGCCCAAUCUCCAGACCUGAACCCCAUUGAAA
Long non-coding RNA from Oncorhynchus gorbuscha (pink salmon), 652 nucleotides. RefSeq lists it as uncharacterized. NCBI's taxonomy places the organism in Eukaryota, Metazoa, Chordata, Actinopteri, Salmoniformes, Salmonidae. The record is from RefSeq and is a predicted model, not a curated record. The transcript has 3 exons.